UCUAUUUGCAUAAUUACUGCCACAUCACCAGUCAAUCAAUUUUAUGUGUUUCUCUCCUAAACCAAUCUAAAAUAUGAUACGUAUAUAAAAACAUCACCCAUGAUUAUACAGACUUCACAUUUAUUAUUGCUUCAGGUCAAAGAUAUAUGAUAAAAUUACCCUCUGUUAUUUCCCCCUCCCUUCCCACUUCUUUAAUGCACAACUCUGAAUACUUCCUUUAGUACAGUUUAUCAGCAAUUUAUUUUUUCUCUGAAUGAGAGACAAAAGAAAAUAAGUAAUGGAGCUAGUCAAAACAAAGCAAGUAGCUACCACAGACAGCUAUGAGGAUUGCUCAUUUUUACAAGCAUGUGGAAACACAAGCAACUGUACACAUUGAUAGAUAGAUAGAUAGAUAUCACAUAGAUAUCUCACAUAGAUAUUUUGUCAGGAAAGACAAAAGUAUUCCCGCUUUCUGGCUAAAUUCCAUACUUGAAAAUAAGUGGCUCCAAUGGAACCUGAGCUCCUGUGACAGCUGAAACUUGAUGGUUCUAUCUCACAUCUUGGUGAAAUAUAAAAAACAAGAGAACCCAACCUCAAGUUAGAUGACGUGACUGAUGUGUCAUCAGAAGCCAAGAUGAACCAUUUUACAUACCAGUUAGACAGUGUUACACAAUUUGUUGCUGUUAUAAGUUACACCGGUUGAUUCUUGCCACCAGUCCAUGUACAGGGAGAAAACUGUAGUUUUCUCAAAGGUAGUAGAAAUCAUUUAUAAUAAGAAGUACUUGAUUUCUUCAUGGCAGGAGUUGGCUUCCAGUUAUGAAUUAUCAUAGAAUAAACAAUCUGAUAUGUUCUUCAAAAAUAUUUUGCUGAUCCUUGCUAAUCUUCCAUCCAAGGUACACCACAACGGACUUGACUUUUCAUCCUUCUUACUGCGGACUUACUGAGUGUAAAAAUCACUUCUGAACAUUUGAAGGAAAAAUGAAAAACUAGCCUGUUUCCUGCAAAAAGUAAAAUAUAACAGUAAGCAUACUUAUCAAAAUUCUCGGCUCCAGAAGAUCCCAAACAGAGCCAAAAAAUAUGUAAUAUCUCACUUCUGCUGACGACUAAUUUAUCUUUUUCUCCUCAGUGUCCAAAGUAUCAGUGCUAUGUUUUUGUGUUUAGAUUCAAAUUGUAAUGGAUCAGAGAACAGCAGUUUGAAGGAAAUGGCAAAAUUCCCACUUAUUUUCAUAAAACAAGAAUUUACAUCUGCUUCAAUAAAAGCUUCUCACUACCCUGGUCUGGGAUGGGCUAAUCCUCUGUUUCUGUGUGCUCUACUUCAGCUUGUUGUUGAUUCAAACUCUGCUAUUUGUGUGCUUCUAGGAAAUAAUCCAGUGUGCUCCGAGUUGGAAAACUCAAGAAGUGACUGGAAGGCAGUGGGAUCUCAAACCUGGGCAGGAUGCUGGUGUGGAGGAGCAUACAGUGUCUGCAACACUACCACACAACAUCCUUGGUUAAGUAACUAGCCUUUACUGUUCCAUUUAUUUCUCAGCCUAAUAAAGCUCAGUAAUUCCCAA
This is a long non-coding RNA of Parus major (Great Tit), 1532 nucleotides long. RefSeq lists it as uncharacterized. Lineage: Eukaryota; Metazoa; Chordata; Aves; Passeriformes; Paridae. The record is from RefSeq and is a predicted model, not a curated record. The transcript is spliced from 2 exons.